UCACUCCCGGUUACACGUGGUCCCAUAACCUUAAAUCUCGUCAACCACGAAUUGUGCUACCAUAUUGAGAAUUGUGGAUCCUGAUGGCCGAAAUAUUGUUAUGGAAACAUUCAAUUUACGUUGGCCAUUACUAUUAACGUAGACACAUAUUUACUGUAUAAACGAUUUCUAGAAUAUUUAUCGAUGUACACUUGCGCGCGUCUCAGCACUUUUAUUCAUACCCGACCUUUUGAAGACUGUUAACCGAUAGAACUGUUUACAUUCGUCUGUUUCUCAGUCGCCGCGCACACACAUAUCUCCACACAGUGAUAUCCCGUUACAAAGAUCUCCACUACGCACUGGACCUAGUCCAGCACAAAAAUUACACAUAUCUCCACACAGUGAUAUCCCGUUACAAAGAUCUCCACUACGCACUGGACCUAGUCC
This 426-nucleotide unclassified non-coding RNA is filed under the name Bombus terrestris (buff-tailed bumblebee). RNAcentral's name for it is "misc RNA ENSBTSG00005025205.1". Lineage: Eukaryota; Metazoa; Arthropoda; Insecta; Hymenoptera; Apidae. The record is from RNAcentral.